UUGUGUCAUAAUAACUGCUUCGAAUCGCAUGGCCUUGUGUGGCGAUGCUUCAUUCAAAUAUCUGCCCUAUCAACUUUCGAUGGUAGGAUAGAGGCUACCAUGGUUGUCAACGGGUAACGGGGAAUAAGGGUUCGAUUCCGGAGAAGGGAGCCUGAGAAACGGCUACCACAUCCAAGGAAGGCAGCAGGCGCGCAAAAUUACCCAAUCCCGACACGGGGAGGUAGUGACAAUAAAUAACAACGUAGGGCCCUUUUGGGUCCUACGAUUGGAAUGAGUACAAUUUAAAUCCCUUAACGAGGAACAAUUGGAGGGCAAGUCUGGUGCCAGCAGCCGCGGUAAUUCCAGCUCCAAUAGCGUAUAUUAAAGUUGUUGCAGUUAAAAAGCUCGUAGUUGAACUUCAGACCUGGCUGGAUGGUCUUGCCUAACGGUAUGUACUGUCCGGCUGGGCCUUACCUCUUGGUGAGCCGGCAUGCCCUUCACUGGGUGUGUCGGGGACACCAGGAACUUUUACCUUGAGAAAAUCAGAGUGUCCAAAGCAGGCUCAUGCCCGAAUACAUUAGCAUGGAAUAAUAAAAUAGGGACGUGCGGUUCUAUUGUGGUUUCUAGAGUCGCCGUAAUGAUUAAUAGGGGAUAGUUGGGGGCAUUAAGUAUUCAGUUGCUAGAGGUGAAAUUCUUGGGAUUUACUGAAAGACUAAUAUGGAAAGGCAUUUGCCA
This 714-nucleotide ribosomal RNA is filed under the name uncultured fungus. RNAcentral describes it as "SSU rRNA". It matches the Rfam family "Eukaryotic small subunit ribosomal RNA", at positions 246 to 960 of the family's 1831-position model. Lineage: Eukaryota; Fungi. The record is from RNAcentral.